Molecule: ribosomal RNA, 474 nt
Filed under: uncultured bacterium
Lineage: Bacteria
Description: bacterial SSU rRNA
Rfam family: Bacterial small subunit ribosomal RNA
Source: RNAcentral
ACUCCUACGGGAGGCAGCAGUGGGGAAUAUUGCGCAAUGGGGGAAACCCUGACGCAGCGACGCCGCGUGGAGGAUGACGGUUUUCGGAUUGUAAACUCCUGUUAAGUGGGAAGAAUGACCAUGGUCUAAUACAUCAUGGGGGUGACGGUACCACUAGAGAAAGCACCGGCUAACUUCGUGCCAGCAGCCGCGGUAAUACGAGGGGUGCAAACGUUAUUCGGAGUUACUGGGCGUAAAGAGCGCGUAGGCGGCUUAUUAAGUUGGCUGUUAAAUUCCUUGGCUUAACUAAGGAUCGGCGGUCAAAACUGGUAGGCUAGAGGGCAAGAGAGAGAGGUGGAAUUCUCGGAGUAGCGGUAAAAUGCGUAGAUCUCGAGAGGAAUAUCGGUUGCGAAGGCGGCCUCUUGGCUUGUGCCUGACGCUGAAGCGCGAAAGCGUGGGGAGCAAACAGGAUUAGAUACCCUGGUAGCUACGAGU